RNAcentral lists this long non-coding RNA (6582 nucleotides) under Salvia miltiorrhiza (redroot sage). Its description in RNAcentral is "long non-coding RNA (SMIL_LNC002494)". Lineage: Eukaryota; Viridiplantae; Streptophyta; Magnoliopsida; Lamiales; Lamiaceae. The record is from RNAcentral.
CCCACGCCGCCGCUCCAUAGCCUCCACCUAACGCUGCUCCACCGCCUCCAUUUCUUUUACCCUGCUCCGCCUUCCUCCACCCGCUUCCGCCUGUCAAACCCUAGUUUCGUGGCGCCUCCUCUAUUUCUCCUCUCUGACUAUCGGCGCUAGCACUCACCGCGCCCUUUCUGAAAUCCGACGAAUAGCAACAGAUGCGGCUUAAGCGAGAAGACGAUGCAGAGGAAAGAAACCCUAGCGCCGCUUCCCCCGCAACCAUUUUUGAAAUCCGGCGAAUAGCAGCGACGAAGCAGUGGCGUCGGCGGCUUGAGCAAGAAGACGAUGCAGAUCUUGGCUUCAAUAACUGGGUCGCCGCCUCCAUCAACUUCACAGACUCAGAUUGUGAUUUGGUGAUUUGGGGAUCUAGGAGUGAAUUUUGGUUUGUUGCCGGAGAUGAAAGUUGGUUGGAUUUGUUGCCUUAUUUGGAUUUCGGCGAAGUGUUCCAGAUCCGUUCCUGAGAUUUCUCCAAUUUCUCUAAUUUCAUUCUCAAUGUAUAUUUUUAGCAUUUUAGUUUUGAAAUUUUUGAUUGAUUUAUUCGAGUUCGAUUUGUUUUGGUAAAUUUUGAUUGUUUUGAGUUAUACUCCCUCCGUCCAUGAAAGAACUUCCUAGGAGGGAGUGACACAGGUUUUAAGAAAAAAUAUUGUUUAGGGUGCAUUUGAAAACUUGGUUAAGUUAAUGACAUUUUUCCAAACUCAAGAAAAGGUUGCUGGAUUUGGCCAGCAAAGCUAAAUAGGCUCAGUGUUUGAUAACACCAUGUUAUAAGCGCGAAAAAGUACUGAGGUUGUUUGAUAUCACAUGCUGUUUUCAUGAAAUAAUAGCAAAAGGUCCAAAAUAGGGGUGAGCAAAAUAUCUGAAAUCCGAAUAUCCGAUCCGAACCAAACCGAAAUUUAAAAUUUGGUUCGGAUUUUUCGGAUUUUCGGAUCGGAUCGGAUUGAAUUUUAAGCAAAUUUAGGAUUUUCGGAUCGGAUCGGAUUGGCACCUUAAAAAUCCGAAAAAAUCCGAAAUCCGAAUUAUAUUUAUAAUAUAAUUAAUAUUAUAAUAUUAUAAAUAAAUAUAUAUAAUUAUUAAUUUUUAAAUAGUUAAAUAUUUCUAAAUUCUAACCCUAUACUCCCAUUUUGGUUGAUUAUAAUUAAUGGUUUGUUAACUAUGACCUUAAUUUGAUUGUAAUUAUCUAAUAUGUUAGGUUGACAUCUAUUUCGGAUUUUUUCGGUUUUCGGAUUUUUUUUGACAUUUCGAAUUUUUUUUAACAUUUCGGGUUUUUCGGUUCGGAUCGGAUUUUAUCCGAAAUUUUUCGAAUUUUCAGAUUCGAAUUUUCGGAUAAUACGGUUCGGAUCGGAUUGAAUUUUAGGAAAAUUUCGGAUUUUCGGAUUGGAUCGGAUCAGGCAAAAAUUCGAUCCGAAAUCCGAAUGCUCACCCCUAGUCCAAAAUAUCCUUAAAAACAUUACUUAAUUAAUCCUAUUUUAUUAACCUUUAUAAUUAAAAAGAAAAAGAAAAAGAAAAAAACCCUUUCACCACCCACCCACCAGUCACCACCAUCACCGCCUAAGAGAGUGAAAAUAUUAAAAAAUCUCUCGUCCACCAAGCAACCCACUAUUAUGUAUUUAUCUUUUUCUUCUUCUUUUCUCCUUGAUUAAUCCUCCGCUCCAAAAUUUGUUUGCAUUAACAAUAAUAACUGUCACAAAGAACUCUCCCUCAAGAGAGUGGAAAUUUGCAUAAAUUGAUACCUCUCAAGAAAGUUGCAGCAAUUUGUGAGAUUUCGCGAUGGUGAAGAAAAAAGUUGUUGUUGUCCGACUAUAACAAAUGGAGGGAGACCGGUGAUGGCGGCUUUCGCUGCUGCUCGUCGGAGAGAGAGGGAAGUCGAGGAAGUACUGAGGCUGACCGGUGGUUGCUCUCGCCGAGAAGGGGGCGGCGCCGCUUGUGCGUACGAGUGUUCUGAUUUGGUGUGUGUGUGUGUGAUUCUCCAAAGAGGAAGAAGAAGAGAGAAAUGGAUGAAUUGGGGGCAAUUUUGUAGAAAAAAAAAUUAAACUUGAAACUCCAUAUUAGCUAACCAGGGGGAGCAUCGGUUGUGUUUCCUUGAGAAAAUGAGGAUUUAGCGCCGGGCCUGCCCCUUUACAUGGGCUUGCUUGUUUAAUUUACUUGGAAAUCAAACAAUAUUUUUAGCCUAGUAAAGGAAGUAAUACAGUCAUAACAAGGAAAUCAAACUGUUCCUUAGUGUAUUAAGGGUGGAUAAAAGGUAGUUGAGUGUAUUGAGAGUGGUGAAAAGGUGUUAUAAUUAAUAUUGAGAGUUGUGGAAAAUAAAAAGUAAUAGGAUUAUAAGUGGUGGGUAUAGUACAAAAAUAGGUAGGAAGUUCUUUUGUGGACGUCCCAAAAAGGAAAGAUAGGAAGUUCUUUCGUGGACGGAGGGAGUAUUUGUUAAAUUUUCGAUUGAUUUGAGUUCGAUUGAUUUUCGUUAAAUUAUUUGAAUUAUCCAAUUGGUGUUGUUGAAUAAGAGCACCGGCAACGCCUUACUCGAUAGGCUACUCGAGUAAGGCGUUGCCUUCGAGUAGGUGCGUUGCGGGGGGGCGGUCCUCGAGCAAUACUCGAGUCUUCGAGUAUGCUAAAAAAAAAAUAGAUAAAUUCGAAUUUAUAUUCGAUUUUUUUUUAUGUUUUAGGUGUUUUUAAAUUUUAUGUUUAAUGACGUAUUUAACUAUUACAAAAAUAUGUUAUUUAAAUUAUGCAAUAAAAUUUAAAUGAAAAACAUAAAAUCAAAACUAAUGUUAUCAAGUAGGCUAUCAAGUAACCCCAAUGCAGCACUACCUACUCAAUAACACAACCACUAUCAAGUAGGCUAUCAAGGAACCCCAUUGCGGAUGCUCUAAGUGUAUCUAAUUUGUUGAACUAGUUUGAAUUAUUCCUUAAACUCAUUACUAAACACAUGUGGACCACACUCCUUACUCACUUAAUUUUCUUCUCCUUAAUCUCCGUACCAAACAGUAACGUCCCAUAAAUAAUGGGACGGAGGGAGUAACAAUUAGCUAAACAAUAAGGGUUCUUAAUUACAUUUCUCUCUCCUACUUUAUCACUUUAUUACAUUCUCUCUCCUACUUUAUCACUUUUAUACUUUAUUACCUACGUACUUAAAACACUAAUCUACAACUCCUUAAUUUCCUAUGUCGAAACCAAAUAUGUCAAGAUUCGUGGGACGGAAGGAGUAUUUAUGAUAAAGAAAUAUUUUGAAUAUGAAUCAUGAUGAAUAUAUCACAUAGAUCAUUGUUUUAUGUACAAUUGUUUUUGAUCCAUGAAAACAUGGAUCCUCAAAAUACCCACAAAUAUAGCAUGAAUUGUAAUUCAAACAUUCCGUCACAAUUUCUAUUAGGACAAUCAGUUACAGCAUUUUUUUUUGAAGUACGUAUAAUUAAAUUUUCUUAACUACCGUUGUUUGUGGGCAUUUUUUUUUUUAAAAUUGAAUUAUGCUUUAAACAAAACUAUAAGGAUGUGUUUGCUUUGAGGUAUAUUUAUCACCUUAUACCUCGUUUGCUUUGAUGUAUGAAAAAAUUCGGACAGAUUGUAUAAUUUUUCGGCAGCUCUUUAUCCUUUGGAAAAUGAAUAAUUUUAUACCUAAGAAAUGGUGGUAUAAUUUCUUAUAAGGAGUGAAUAAAUAUAUUAUCCUUCAAACCAACAAGAUAUAAAAAAUAUGAUCUCCACUAAGUGAUAAAUUUAUACUUUAUUAUAUUAUUCCUUCAUUUAGCUAGAGGGAUAAAAAGCAAACACACGUAAUAGUAUAAUAUGGUAUAGUGUUUCAAAAUUAAUUCAUGGGUCAUGAGUAUGACCAUUAUUUUAUCUAAAUAUACUUUUUUUUUAAAAUUCGAUUCGUGAUGAACACAUCUUGUUAUCUAUAAUCAAGCACGAUUUCUUUAUAUCAACAAAGAAUAAGAUCAAAACAACGAUUUUAGGGAAGCCACGUAUAUAUGCAAACAUCUCGCCAGCAUAGACAAAUAUCAAUAAAGAAGUCAUCUUAGGACAUCUACAGUUGGGAAGUGUCUACCCUGCACAGUGUGCAAUGCACACUGUCGUUAAGAUUGUGACACAUGGCCACUCCCCAAAACCCAUUUUUCCAUAAAUCACAAAUCAACCCCUUAUAAAUUUGCAAAUACAAAAUUCCCCACCACAGUUUCAAUUUAGGCAGAAAACCCCUUUUUUCAAAGAAAAUCAUGCAAUUAAUCAUAAUAUGACCCAACAUGCUUCCGUAACAAUUCAAAAUUAAUCUAAACAUAAACCAACAUUAUACCUCUCGUCGAAUGGUCUUCUUCAGGAGUCAGUACUUGUUGCGUUUUACGGAUCGUCUGCCCCCAAGGUGAAGGAAUAUUAAACUGAAUUAAUACUCGAUUUGCCCGAAGAUCGUUUCUUGGAUUAUUAUUAAUUUAUCAUACAACGAUUAAUCCCUAACAUGCCCCUAUGAAUUUAAGUGCUGCACGUUGUAGUUCAGAAAUACCUGAAGAAUUCAGAAGAAUUCAUCAAAUUCGCAGCUGAACAGACCAGUCAGCUUCAAGCCUCAAACGUCCUCAAAUCGUAUUUUUCCCAGAAAUACGAUUUUUUCGUAUUCGAGAGAGCUUUCCGUGGCCGCCUGUUUCUCCUGAAUCGGAGUUCUAUGGAGGAAGUUAUGGCCGUUCUCCCGAAACUGCCAGAACUUGAUUUCCCGCGAAAAUCUGACUCCAGCUCAGAUGUUCUGAAAUGUAUCCCGCUCAGCUUUCACCGUUGGAUGGACAACGAGCUGUAAAAGUCCUAAGAGAGAAUUCAGCCCUGCACGCCUAGCGCCGCUCUGUGCUCUCAAAAACCCUAAUAUUUUGAUGUGUGUGUAUUUUUUCUGAGAACAAACAGCUGUAUUUAAAUAAAUAAAUCACAACUGGGGCGCUAGUUUCCUUGUGCUGGACGAAAAUUCUCUCUGCUAGGGCUAGGAGACUUUGGGCCAGUCCAAGGACCAGAUACAAGGAAUAAAGAUGGGCCUCAAAUAAAUUAAUUCUCCAUUGUCAGCCAGACCAUAAUUAAUUUAUAAAUAUUAGUUCAUUCCACUAGAGAACUAAUACUGACUUAUCCCUUUAUUGCCGGUGAUGAGUCGAGGCUUGUAUUUAGACUUAUUAAAUCUUCGUAUUUAAAAUAUCCGACAUCCAUUAAUUAAUUAGAGCUCUGACAGCUUAAAUUAAUUAAUCUCUUUGUAAUCCUUAAGCAGUACUACUCAAACUUUAUUAUUGCGCCUGAACUUAAUCAACCUGCAGGGUUUAACGCAAUAAACCUUAUUGAGCUCCUUAAGGGGAUGUCAUUAUCCUAUACCGGAUACGGGUACUAAUACAGAUAAUCAAAUAUCAUAUAUUGAUCGCUAUCACCCAAGAUACAGAGUACUCAAGUUACUAUAUAACUCUCACCCAUAGUAAGUCAAAGUGAUAUACGAAUCAACAUAUAUAUUUGAAAUCUUAUUAGUAUUAAGAUUUUAUUAAGUCACCGAGAUCUUUGAUUCUUCACUUAAGUCAGACAGAAGAAUACAUCUCACUGUGGUCCUAUCAAUACGUUAUGACGUACCAGUAUAGACAAGUAGUCAAGACAAACUACUUCCAUCUAUAUCGCAGCCUAAACCAAUGACUCGUCCUAAAGUCAUCUCGACUGUGAUAAUUUUAUAUCUCUUAAGGUUAUUCCAAUUAUAUGGUCUUCUGUGAUCUACAACACACAAUAUAAUCUACUUAUAUAGAGACAAAGGACAUAUAUAUGCAAUCAUGAACACAAUCAGAUAGGAGAUUAAAAUAGUGAACUUAGGAAACAUUGUAUACAAGCAUAAAACGUUCUUGCUUUCAGUAUACAAAUCCAACAAUCUCCCACUUAUACGAAAGCAAAAUUUUAGUAUACAAUGCGUUUAUUUACCAAUCACCUAACACUUCUCCCACUUAUACUUAAAGUUUCCUAAGUGGGUGACAUUAAUCGCAUUCCCAUCUUUCAAUGACCAUUUGCGAUAAGCCUUUAGUGGAAAGAUUAGUAGGUUUCUCCAAUAUGUGAGAAUUUAUUCUAUGAGCACAAAACCUCGAUUUACGAAUAAUCGUAUAACUUGGUACUUACUCUCCAUGUGUUUGACCCCUUGUGGUUCUUGGAUUCCUUAGAGUUCGCAACUGCACUUGAGGUAUCACGAAGGUGAUGCUCUCACGCAAACUAGGAAUCACCCUUAGAUCCUGGAGGUAGUGGUCAAACCAAAAGGUUUUACCUCCCAAGGAAAACACAUAGCUCGAGGUAAUUAUUCUUCGGUCAGCCUGGAAAUCCGAAAUCAUAUAAUCCAAAAAGGAACUAAACUGUCUAACUGAUAAACUAUCCUUAUUCUCUAGUCAUGGACUUGAGAAUAUAAUUUACCACAGUUCAGUGUCCUUAACUAGAACUAUACUGAUAUCUUACAACCAUGCUAACUGCAUAGCAAAUAUAAGAUCUCGUACAUAACAAUCCAUACAUGAAGCUAUCUACUGCGGAAACGUAGAAUACUUCCUUCAUUUCCUCAACCUUAAUAGGCAUCUUAAGACAUAGUCUUUAGAUAAA